This is a long non-coding RNA of Diospyros lotus (date-plum), 776 nucleotides long. RefSeq lists it as uncharacterized. The record is from RefSeq and is a predicted model, not a curated record. NCBI's taxonomy places the organism in Eukaryota, Viridiplantae, Streptophyta, Magnoliopsida, Ericales, Ebenaceae. The transcript has 3 exons.
UUUUCUCUCUCUAUCUCUCUCCCCCAUAGCCACUUAAACUUCACCCGUUCUCUCUCUCUCUCACUCGCCAUUUUCGAGCAGAGCCAGAUUCGGCUACCAGCAACGGCGGCGGCGGCUCCAGUGACGGCAACGGCGGCUGUGGCUCCCUCCUCCAGCAUCCAACGAUCGGCCACUGUCGAGAGCUCGCGCUUCGUCAUGCUUCCAUCUCCAGUGUUUCAAGUCAGCUAUUGGGGCAACUAGAAGCUUUUCAUGCCUUCUGGACCACCGGCACAAUCACAGCGAAGAAUCGAUGAUGUGUCGUAUGCUGAUGAGAUGAGAUUAUGUUGUUGAUGAUACAGAAGAAGAUGUGCAUUUAGGGGUUGCACAUCAGAUAUACAAGGAUGGAAAUUAUAAGCAAGCUUUGGAGCAUUGCAAUGCUGUUUAUGAGAGCAACUCAUUGCAUUUAUAUUAUUAGGUCUCUUAAUCUUCUCCAUUUUUAAUUAGUUUCAAAAACCUAAUUUCCUUUUUUCGUGGUGUUGCCUAAGUUCCAGAAAGUGAUCAGCUUCUUUUCUAUCUUUUUACGCAAUACUCUUUCUUAAUAUUUCAUUUAGUUUGCUCGGAUAACAGUUUCUAAUGUAAUUUAUUGCCCAUUCAAUAAUGAAGAAUGAUAAAUGAAAACCUUAUAUGUGCAAGCCACUAUGUGGACAUAUGUCUAUGUAUGGAUUGAGGGAGAGGGAGGGUUUAGGAGAGAACAAACUAACAAAAGCAACAGGCUAUUAAGUACCAGUUAGCCUCAA